Molecule: ribosomal RNA, 405 nt
Filed under: uncultured bacterium
Lineage: Bacteria
Description: partial 16S ribosomal RNA
Rfam family: Bacterial small subunit ribosomal RNA
Source: RNAcentral
AUUGAACGCUGGCGGCAGGCUUAACACAUGCAAGUCGAACGCGUGGCGGACGGGUGAGUAAUGCUUGGGAAUCUAGCUUAUGGAGGGGGAUAACUACGGGAAACUGUAGCUAAUACCGCGUACCAUAGGAUGAGCCCAAGUGGGAUUAGGUCGUUGGUGAGUUAAAGGCUAACCAAGCCGACGAUCUCUAGCUGGUCUGAGAGGAUGAACAGCCACACGGGGACUGAGACACGGCCCAGAUGCCUACGGGAGGCAGCAGUGGGGAAUAUUGCGCAAUGGGGGCAACCUGACGCAGCCAUGCCGCGUGAAUGAAGAAGGCCUUCGGGUUGUAAAGUUCUUUCGGUAGCGAGGCGUUAACUACAGAAGAAGCACCGGCUAACUCCGUGCCAGCAGCCGCGGUAAUUC